Molecule: ribosomal RNA, 383 nt
Filed under: uncultured bacterium
Lineage: Bacteria
Description: bacterial SSU rRNA
Rfam family: Bacterial small subunit ribosomal RNA
Source: RNAcentral
AUUGAACGCUGGCGGCAUGCCUUACACAUGCAAGUCGAACGGCAGCACGGGAGCAAUCCUGGUGGCGAGUGGCGAACGGGUGAGUAAUAUAUCGGAACGUGCCCAGUCGUGGGGAUAACGUAGCGAAAGCUACGCUAAUACCGCAUACGAUCUAUGGAUGAAAGCGGAGGAUCGCAAGACCUCGCGCGAUUGGAGCGGCCGAUAUCAGAUUAGGUAGUUGGUGAGGUAAAGGCUCACCAAGCCGACGAUCUGUAGCUGGUCUGAGAGGACGACCAGCCACACUGGGACUGAGACACGGCCCAGACUCCUACGGGAGGCAGCAGUGGGGAAUUUUGGACAAUGGGCGCAAGCCUGAUCCAGCAAUGCCGCGUGCAGGAUGAAGG